Molecule: RNA transcript, 735 nt
Organism: Myotis davidii
Lineage: Eukaryota; Metazoa; Chordata; Mammalia; Chiroptera; Vespertilionidae
Gene name: 60S ribosomal protein L7-like
Exons: 1
Source: RefSeq, a predicted model, not a curated record
GACUGGAACCAUGGAGUCUUCAGAAGAGAAGAAGAAGGUUCCUGCUGUGCCAGAAACCUUCAAGAAAAAGCGAAGGAAUUUCGCAGAGCUGAAGAUCAAGCGCCUGAGAAAGAAGUUUGCCCAAAAGAUGCCUCGAAAGGCAAGAAGGAAGCUCAUCUAAGAAAAAGCUAAGCACUAUCACAAGGAAUACAGACAGAUAUACAGAACUGAGAUUCGAAUGGCUAGGAUGGCAAGAAAAGCUGGCAACUUCUAUGUACCUGCCAAACCCAAAUUAGCAUUUGUCAUCAUGAUCAUAGGUAGUAUCAAUGGUGUGAGCCAAAGGUCCGAAAGGUGCUGCAGCUUCUUCGCCUUCGCCAGAUCUUCAACAAGGCUUCAAUUAACAUGCUGAGGAUUGUGGAAUCAUAUAUUGCAUGGGGGUACCCAAACCUGAAGUCAGUAAAUGAAUUGAUCUACAAGCGUGGUUAUGGCAAAAUCAUCAAAAAACAAAUUGCCCUCACAGAUAACUCAUUGAUUGCUCAAUCUCUUAGUAAAUAUGGCAUCAUCUUCAUGGAAGAUCUGAUUCAUGAGAUCGAUACUGUUGGAAAGCGCUUCAAAGAAGUAAACAAUUUCCUAUGGCCCUUCAAGUUAUCUUCUCUGCGAGGUGGAAUAAAGAAAAAGACCACCCAUUUUGUAGAAGGUGGAGAUACUGGUAACAGGGAAGAUCAGAUCAAUAGGCUUAUUAGAAGAAUGAACUAA